GGAGUUAGCCGGUGCUUCUUCUGCGAGUAACGUCACAGAUGUAAGGUAUUAACUUACACCCUUUCCUCCUCGCUGAAAGUGCUUUACAACCCGAAGGCCUUCUUCACACACGCGGCAUGGCUGCAUCAGGGUUUCCCCCAUUGUGCAAUAUUCCCCACUGCUGCCUCCCGUAGGAGUCUGGGCCGUGUCUCAGUCCCAGUGUGGCUGAUCAUCCUCUCAGACCAGCUAGGGAUCGUCGCCUAGGUGAGCCUUUACCUCACCUACUAGCUAAUCCCACCUGGGCUUAUCCAUCAGCGCAAGGCCCGAAGGUCCCCUGCUUUCCCCCGUAGGGCGUAUGCGGUAUUAGCAGUCGUUUCCAACUGUUAUCCCCCACAAAUGAGCAAAUUCCCAGGCAUUACUCACCCGUCCGCCGCUCGUCAUCUCAAAGACAGCUUUAGUAAUAGUUACCGUCUCGUACUUGCAUGUGUUAGGUCCUCGCCGCCACGCGUUCAUACUAAGACCAGAAUACAACUACUCGA
This 518-nucleotide ribosomal RNA is filed under the name uncultured bacterium. Its description in RNAcentral is "partial 16S ribosomal RNA". The record is from RNAcentral.